UCCCUGGUAGCUCAGAUGGUAAAGCGUCUGCCUAUAAUGCAGGAGACCCGGGUUCGAUCCCUGCGUUGGGAA
This 72-nucleotide transfer RNA is filed under the name Bos taurus (domestic cattle). It matches the Rfam family "tRNA". Rfam says of the family: Transfer RNA (tRNA) molecules are approximately 80 nucleotides in length. Their secondary structure includes four short double-helical elements and three loops (D, anti-codon, and T loops). Lineage: Eukaryota; Metazoa; Chordata; Mammalia; Artiodactyla; Bovidae. RNAcentral also lists the same sequence under 1 other name. The record is from Rfam by way of RNAcentral.